Molecule: ribosomal RNA, 489 nt
Filed under: uncultured Enterobacterales bacterium
Lineage: Bacteria; Pseudomonadati; Pseudomonadota; Gammaproteobacteria; Enterobacterales
Description: bacterial SSU rRNA
Rfam family: Bacterial small subunit ribosomal RNA
Source: RNAcentral
AUUGAACGCUGGCGGCAGGCCUAACACAUGCAAGUCGAACGGUAGCACAGAGAGCUUGCUCUCGGGUGACGAGUGGCGGACGGGUGAGUAAUGUCUGGGAAACUGCCUGAUGGAGGGGGAUAACUACUGGAAACGGUAGCUAAUACCGCAUAACGUCGCAAGACCAAAGAGGGGGACCUUCGGGCCUCUUGCCAUCAGAUGUGCCCAGAUGGGAUUAGCUAGUAGGUGGGGUAACGGCUCACCUAGGCGACGAUCCCUAGCUGGUCUGAGAGGAUGACCAGCCACACUGGAACUGAGACACGGUCCAGACUCCUACGGGAGGCAGCAGUGGGGAAUAUUGCACAAUGGGCGCAAGCCUGAUGCAGCCAUGCCGCGUGUAUGAAGAAGGCCUUCGGGUUGUAAAGUACUUUCAGCGGGGAGGAAGGUGUUGUGGUUAAUAACCACAGCAAUUGACGUUACCCGCAGAAGAAGCACCGGCUAACUCCGUGC